AUCCAGCUGACGAGUCCCAGAUAAAACGAAACACACGUCAAACUGAAU
This 48-nucleotide non-coding RNA is filed under the name Schistosoma haematobium. Lineage: Eukaryota; Metazoa; Platyhelminthes; Trematoda; Strigeidida; Schistosomatidae. The record is from RNAcentral.